GAUGAACGCUGGCGGCGUGCCUAAUACAUGCAAGUCGAGCGAACAGACGAGGAGCUUGCUCCUCUGACGUUAGCGGCGGACGGGUGAGUAACACGUGGAUAACCUACCUAUAAGACUGGGAUAACUUCGGGAAACCGGAGCUAAUACCGGAUAAUAUAUUGAACCGCAUGGUUCAUUAGUGAAAGACGGUUUUGCUGUCACUUAUAGAUGGAUCCGCGCCGCAUUAGCUAGUUGGUAAGGUAACGGCUUACCAAGGCAACGAUGCGUAGCCGACCUGAGAGGGUGAUCGGCGACACUGGAACUGAGACACGGUCAAGACUCCUACGGGAGGCCGCAGUAGGGAAUCUUCCGCAAUGGGGGAAAGCUUGACGGAGCAACGCCGCGUGAGUGAUGAAGGUCUUCGGAUCGUAAAGCUCUGUUAUUAGGGAAGAACAAAUGUGUAAGUAACUAUGCACGUCUUGACGGUACCUAAUCAGAAAGCCACGGCUAACUACGUG
This 497-nucleotide ribosomal RNA is filed under the name uncultured bacterium. Its description in RNAcentral is "partial 16S ribosomal RNA". It matches the Rfam family "Bacterial small subunit ribosomal RNA", at positions 28 to 507 of the family's 1533-position model. The record is from RNAcentral.